RNAcentral lists this ribosomal RNA (372 nucleotides) under uncultured organism. RNAcentral describes it as "bacterial SSU rRNA". It matches the Rfam family "Bacterial small subunit ribosomal RNA", at positions 526 to 896 of the family's 1533-position model. The record is from RNAcentral.
CGGAGGGUGCAAACGUUGUUCGGAAUUACUGGGCGUAAAGCGCGUGUAGGCGGCCCUGCAAGUCGGGUGUGAAAUCCCACGGCUCAACCGUGGAAGUGCACUCGAAACUGCAGGGCUAGAGUCCUGGAGAGGAAGGUGGAAUGCUUGGUGUAGAGGUGAAAUUCGUAGAUAUCAAGCGGAACACCGGUGGCGAAGGCGGCCUUCUGGACAGUGACUGACGCUGAGACGCGAAAGCGUGGGGAGCAAACAGGAUUAGAUACCCUGGUAGUCCACGCCGUAAACGAUGAGUGCUUGGUGUCACGGGCUUUGACCCUCGUGGUGCCGAAGCUAACGCGUUAAGCACUCCGCCUGGGGAGUACGGUCGCAAGACUA